UCCGAGUUGACCCCGGCAGUCUCCUUAGAGUGCCCUUGCGUAGCAACUAAGGACAAGGGUUGCGCUCGUUGCGGGACUUAACCCAACAUCUCACGACACGAGCUGACGACAGCCAUGCAGCACCUGUGUUCCCGUUCCCUUUCGGGCACACCCGCCUUUCAGCAGGCUCCAGGACAUGUCAAGGGUAGGUAAGGUUUUUCGCGUUGCAUCGAAUUAAUCCACAUAAUCCACCGCUUGUGCGGGUCCCCGUCAAUUCCUUUGAGUUUUAACCUUGCGGCCGUACUCCCCAGGCGGAGAGCUUAAUGCGUUAGCUGCGUCACCGACACGCAUGCGUGCCGACAACUAGCUCUCAUCGUUUACAGCGUGGACUAC
This 372-nucleotide unclassified non-coding RNA is filed under the name uncultured Pseudomonadota bacterium. Its description in RNAcentral is "uncultured proteobacterium contains 16S-23S intergenic spacer region". The record is from RNAcentral. Lineage: Bacteria; Pseudomonadati; Pseudomonadota.